UACCGAGUGCGGGUCCUUCGGGGCCCAACCUCCACCCGUGUCUACCGUACCGUGUUGCUUCGGCGGGCCCGCCGCAAGGCCGCCGGGGGGCGUCACCCCGCCCCCGGGCCCGUGCCCGCCGGAGACCCUUUGAACGCUGAUCUGUGAAGGUGUGUCGUCUGAGUCGCGUGAGAAAUCGUGAAAACUUUCAACAACGGAUCUCUUGGUUCCGGCAUCGAUGAAGAACGCAGCGAAAUGCGAUAAGUAAUGUGAAUUGCAGAAUUCCGUGAAUCAUCGAAUCUUUGAACGCACAUUGCGCCCUCUGGUAUUCCGGGGGGCAUGCCUGUCCGAGCGUCAUUGCUGCCCUCAAGCACGGCUUGUGUGUUGGGCCGCCGUCCCCGCCCUCCGCGGGGGGACGGGCCCGAAAGGCAGCGGCGGCGCCGCGUCCGGUCCUCGAGCGUAUGGGGCUCUGUCACCCGCUCUGCAGGCCCGGCCGGCGCCCGCCGAGUCAACCACUUCUUUUCCAGGUUGACCUCGGAUCAGGUAGGGAUACCCGCUGAACUUAAGCAUAUCAAUAAGCGGAGGAAAAGAAACCAACAGGGAUUGCCCCAGUAACGGCGAGUGAAGCGGCAAGAGCUCAAAUUUGAAAUCUGGCCCCGUCGGGGUCCGAGUUGUAAUUUGCAGAGGAUGCUUCGGGUGCGGCCCCCGUCUAAGUGCCCUGGAACGGGCCGUCAUAGAGGGUGAGAAUCCCGUCUGGGACGGGUGGCCGCGUCCGUGUGAAGCUCCUUCGACGAGUCGAGUUGUUUGGGAAUGCAGCUCUAAAUGGGUGGUAAAUUUCAUCUAAAGCUAAAUACUGGCCGGAGACCGAUAGCGCACAAGUAGAGUGAUCGAAAGAUGAAAAGCACUUUGAAAAGAGAGUUAAAUAGCACGUGAAAUUGUUGAAAGGGAAGCGCUUGCGACCAGACUCGCCCGCGGGGGCUCAGCCGGCACUCGUGCCGGUGCACUCCCCCGUGGGCGGGCCAGCGUCGGUUUGGGCGGUCGGUCAAAGGCCCCCGGAAUGUGUCGCCCUUCGGGGCGUCUUAUAGCCGGGGGUGCAAUGCGGCCAGCCCGGACCGAGGAACGC
This 1102-nucleotide ribosomal RNA is filed under the name fungal endophyte. RNAcentral's name for it is "eukaryotic LSU rRNA". The stretch from base 509 to 1102 matches the Rfam family "Eukaryotic large subunit ribosomal RNA", at positions 1 to 599 of the family's 3401-position model. Lineage: Eukaryota; Fungi. The record is from RNAcentral.